ACUCAAAGGAAUAGACGGGGGCCCGCACAAGCGGCGGAGCAUGCGGCUUAAUUCGAUGCAACGCGAAGAACCUUACCUAGGCUUGACAUAUACGUGAAGCAGGCAGAGAUGUCUGUGCCUUCGGGCUCGUAUACAGGUGGUGCAUGGCUGUCGUCAGCUCGUGUCGUGAGAUGUUGGGUUAAGUCCCGCAACGAGCGCAACCCUCGUCCUAUGUUGCCAGCGGGUAAUGCCGGGGACUCAUAGGAGACUGCCGGGGUCAACUCGGAGGAAGGUGGGGACGACGUCAAGUCAUCAUGCCCCUUACGUCUAGGGCUGCACGCAUGCUACAAUGGCCGGUACAAAGGGCUGCAAUUCCGCAAGGUUGAGCGAAUCCCAAAAAGCCGGUCUCAGUUCGGAUUGGGGUCUGCAACUCGACCCCAUGAAGUCGGAGUCGCUAGUAAUCGCAGAUCAGCAACGCUGCGGUGAAUACGUUCCCGGGCCUUGUACACACCGCCCGU
This 497-nucleotide ribosomal RNA is filed under the name uncultured bacterium. RNAcentral describes it as "partial 16S ribosomal RNA". It matches the Rfam family "Bacterial small subunit ribosomal RNA", at positions 899 to 1397 of the family's 1533-position model. The record is from RNAcentral.